This 305-nucleotide ribosomal RNA is filed under the name uncultured bacterium. Its description in RNAcentral is "bacterial SSU rRNA". It matches the Rfam family "Bacterial small subunit ribosomal RNA", at positions 334 to 636 of the family's 1533-position model. The record is from RNAcentral.
UGCACCUACGGGGGGCAGCAGUGAGGAAUAUUGGUCAAUGGCCGCAGGGCUGAACCAGCCAAGUCGCGUGAGGGAUGACGGUCCUAUGGAUUGUAAACCUCUUUUGUCAGGGAGCAAAGGGCGCCACGUGUGGCGUUUUGCGAGUACCUGAAGAAAAAGCAUCGGCUAACUCCGUGCCAGCAGCCGCGGUAAUACGGAGGAUGCGAGCGUUAUCCGGAUUUAUUGGGUUUAAAGGGAGCGUAGGCCGGUCUUUAAGCGUGCCGUGAAAUUUUGUGGCUCAACCAUGAGAGUGCGGCGCGAACUGG